This 465-nucleotide ribosomal RNA is filed under the name uncultured Klebsiella sp. RNAcentral describes it as "bacterial SSU rRNA". It matches the Rfam family "Bacterial small subunit ribosomal RNA", at positions 338 to 795 of the family's 1533-position model. Lineage: Bacteria; Pseudomonadati; Pseudomonadota; Gammaproteobacteria; Enterobacterales; Enterobacteriaceae. The record is from RNAcentral.
CCUACGGGCGGCUGCAGUGGGGAAUAUUGCACAAUGGGCGCAAGCCUGAUGCAGCCAUGCCGCGUGUGUGAAAAAGGCCUUCGGGUUGUAAAGCACUUUCAGCGGGGAGGAAGGCGUUAAGGUUAAUAACCUUGGCGAUUGACGUUACCCGCAGAAGAAGCACCGGCUAACUCCGUGCCAGCAGCCGCGGUAAUACGGAGGGUGCAAGCGUUAAUCGGAAUUACUGGGCGUAAAGCGCACGCAGGCGGUCUGUCAAGUCGGAUGUGAAAUCCCCGGGCUCAACCUGGGAACUGCAUUCGAAACUGGCAGGCUAGAGUCUUGUAGAGGGGGGUAGAAUUCCAGGUGUAGCGGUGAAAUGCGUAGAGACCUGGAGGAAUACCGGUGGCGAAGGCGGCCCCCUGGACAAAGACUGACGCUCAGGUGCGAAAGCGUGGGGAGCAAACAGGAUUAGAUACCCCUGUAGUC